Molecule: microRNA, 22 nt
Filed under: Salmo salar (Atlantic salmon)
Lineage: Eukaryota; Metazoa; Chordata; Actinopteri; Salmoniformes; Salmonidae
Also listed under: 2 other names
Description: ssa-miR-19c-4-5p
Gene: ssa-miR-19c-4-5p
Source: miRBase by way of RNAcentral
AGUUUUGCUGGUUUGCUUUCAG